Molecule: non-coding RNA, 657 nt
Organism: Vicugna pacos (alpaca)
Lineage: Eukaryota; Metazoa; Chordata; Mammalia; Artiodactyla; Camelidae
Source: RefSeq, a predicted model, not a curated record
CUCAUCUUGCAGUAGGCUGGGCAGGCUGGAUUGCACUUGUAGGCCGUUUGCAGGGUGGGUCCCUCCUGUAGGCUUCCACAUUUAGGGAGUGGAGCAAGUCGCGUCCCACAGGCGUGUAUUUGGGUGGUUCAUGUGAGUAGUCGACCAGGUUCCAGCCCCCCCGUAGGUAGGUGGCAGAGGGGGUCCUCAAUUAGGUAGUUGGACAGGUCAGGGGUCCACUUGUAGGUAGUUGGGCAGGGAGGGUCCCUCAUUUCAGUCUUUGGGAAAUACGGGUGUCACAUGUGGGUAUUUGAGCAGGUCGAAGCCCAGUUGUGGGUAUUUGGGUGGGGAGGAUCCCAGCUGCUGGUAGUUGAGCAGGGAGGGUCCCACCUGUAGGUACUGGAGCAAGGGGGGCCCAAUUGUAGGUAGCUGAGAAGGGAGUGGGGGCCCAGUUGUAGGUAGUUGGGCAGGGAGGGGGCCCAGUUGUAGGCAGUUGAGCAGGGAGGAGGCCCAUUUGUAGGUAAUCGGGCAGGGAGGGUCCCACUUGUAGGUACUGGAGCAAGGGGGGGCCCAAUUGUAGGUAGCUGAGAAGGGAGUGGGGGUCCAAUUGUAGGUAGUUGGGCAGGGAGGGUCUCUCACUUAGAUAUUUGGGAAAUUCGGAUGUCACAUGUGGGUAUU